UGCUCCAAAACCUGCCACGAACAAUGGGCAGGCACCUGUUGAGAAGCCAGCCCCAGUUACUCGUGUGAUACCAGAGAAGCAGCCUUCUGCUGCACCAUCUUCUGCACCAUCUGGUGACGCUCCAAAGCAGAUUCCUGCUGGUAUCCAGGGAAAUCAGAAGAAUAACUAUUACCGUGCUGAUGGCCAGAACACUGGGAACUUCCUCACGGUAUGCAUGAAAUCUUUUUGGCAAAAUACAGUAGCUGCUUUCUGAUAGUUAUUAUAUUUCCUAUUGUUAUCCUUAAGCAAAAGCUCCUGGUAACUGGUGAAUUAGGUGCUCAACUGCUUUCCUUGUUAAUCGAAUUCUUACUAUUUGCAGGCUUGUAUGAACUGUCCGUGCUAUGUUCAAGUUAUUGUUUUUUGGUUGUAGAAAGUUUUAAAUAAAAAAAUGAUUAUGAAGAAUUUGCUAGUAAUGUACUAGGAUAAGGUGUUUGGAAUGCAUAAGAAAUAAAUUUCCGGGUGGUGGCAGAGUUUUAAUUGGUAAAUGAGAACUUCAGUAGGCAUGUUAGAUAAAUAUCUAAUUUGGUUACACGCUUUCAGAUAGAAUGAAAAGUAUGAUUUUCAAAAUUAAGUGCAGGCUUUUGAAAAAAGAGUUAGGCCGUGGAAGUAGGCUAUGAUGCUGAAGUUGAAGAUAAAUUUUCUUUAAUGUUUUCUCAGAUUAUUUAAGAAUACUAAUAAAAUGAACUCAAUAUAAAACUAACAAUGAAAAGGUGUUUUUGAAAAAUGGAAACAAGUAAAGCUUUAGCUCUUGUCACUGUAGUAAGUCCUUUUGAAGUUUCCGUCUCCCAAAAUAUUUUCUGUUCCCAGAAAUUUCUCGAUCAUUUGAAAAGUUUUAGUUUGCUUCUUGUAUUUCCACCCUAGACAAGGUGGCGUUUGUGCAGUAAGUACUAGACAACUAGAACAUGGGUCAUGACUCUAGGAGAAUGCUUUGUUUAAGAUUGUGCGCUCUUAUUAGUUGUUACUAUUAUUGGAUUCAGAUUGUGAAAAACCCAGCUUGUUAGCUUUCUUAAGGCGAAGUAAUUGAAUUAAAUUCUUUGGGUCGAGUGCAUAAUUGCAUAUAUUAGGUUCCAAUAAAGGGGGGCUUCACUGGCUACUUAGUACUUACAUUGUAUUCUGAUUGUCAUUAUUGUGUUCACAUGAUAUUGUUUAUAGCAGUCAUAUUUGUGUUUAUUUGCUUAGUUUGAUGUUACCAGUGUUCUGUCUGUUUCAAAUUUUUAUAUACACUUUGGGUUUUCUCAUUUCUCCAAUCAAUUAUGUUUUGAAACUUUGAGAUUUAUCGCAUUAUGCCCGUAUACUUGAUCUAUCACAUUUUCUUACCCACCAAUAACAUUGGGAUAAAAUUUUUCAGGAUCGACCUUCUACUAAAGUCCAUGCGGCCCCAGGUGGUGGAUCUUCCUUGGGAUACCUCUUUGGAGGUGGCAGCAACUAGUGCAUUUGGUUCAUCAAAUUCAACAACGAGAUUGUUGUCUACUGUGUCUAGGCCCCAUUCAAAAUGGGGGCUAACAAUAUGUUCCAUCUUCAGUUCUUGAGACAUUGUGAAUUGUACUAUGGUUU
Molecule: long non-coding RNA, 1593 nt
Filed under: Salvia miltiorrhiza (redroot sage)
Lineage: Eukaryota; Viridiplantae; Streptophyta; Magnoliopsida; Lamiales; Lamiaceae
Description: long non-coding RNA (SMIL_LNC008543)
Source: RNAcentral